Molecule: transfer RNA, 72 nt
Filed under: Nephila pilipes (giant wood spider)
Lineage: Eukaryota; Metazoa; Arthropoda; Arachnida; Araneae; Nephilidae
Description: tRNA-Ser
Rfam family: tRNA
About the family: Transfer RNA (tRNA) molecules are approximately 80 nucleotides in length.
Source: RNAcentral
UCCAGGAUGGCCGAGUGGUUAUGGCACCAGACUGCUAUUUCGAAAUCGCAGGUUCGAGUCCUGCUCCUGGAU